CCAGGAAAAGCAAAAUAAAACAAGAAACAAAUAAAUACACCUACCAAAGACUUAAUAGACACAGGUGGUUUACAGGAAAACCUAGCCCCCAGAAA
Lontra canadensis (Northern American river otter) is the source of this 95-nucleotide long non-coding RNA. RefSeq lists it as uncharacterized. The transcript has 4 exons. The record is from RefSeq and is a predicted model, not a curated record. NCBI's taxonomy places the organism in Eukaryota, Metazoa, Chordata, Mammalia, Carnivora, Mustelidae.